This 465-nucleotide ribosomal RNA is filed under the name Vreelandella stevensii. RNAcentral describes it as "partial 16S ribosomal RNA". It matches the Rfam family "Bacterial small subunit ribosomal RNA", at positions 338 to 795 of the family's 1533-position model. The record is from RNAcentral. Lineage: Bacteria; Pseudomonadati; Pseudomonadota; Gammaproteobacteria; Oceanospirillales; Halomonadaceae.
CCUACGGGGGGCAGCAGUGGGGAAUAUUGGACAAUGGGCGAAAGCCUGAUCCAGCCAUGCCGCGUGUGUGAAGAAGGCCUUCGGGUUGUAAAGCACUUUCAGUGGGGAAGAAAGCCUUGGGGCUAAUACCCUCGAGGAAGGACUUCACCCACAGAAGAAGCACCGGCUAACUCCGUGCCAGCAGCCGCGGUAAUACGGAGGGUGCGAGCGUUAAUCGGAAUUACUGGGCGUAAAGCGCGCGUAGGCGGUCUGAUAAGCCGGUUGUGAAAGCCCCGGGCUCAACCUGGGAACGGCAUCCGGAACUGUCAGGCUAGAGUGCAGGAGAGGAAGGUAGAAUUCCCGGUGUAGCGGUGAAAUGCGUAGAGAUCGGGAGGAAUACCAGUGGCGAAGGCGGCCUUCUGGACUGACACUGACGCUGAGGUGCGAAAGCGUGGGUAGCAAACAGGAUUAGAUACCCUGGUAGUC